Osmerus eperlanus (European smelt) is the source of this 769-nucleotide long non-coding RNA. RefSeq lists it as uncharacterized. NCBI's taxonomy places the organism in Eukaryota, Metazoa, Chordata, Actinopteri, Osmeriformes, Osmeridae. The transcript has 3 exons. The record is from RefSeq and is a predicted model, not a curated record.
CUUACAGGCUCGGGUGUUUGGCGUGCAGAUGGCGAGGUAUCCGGUCACGCAGGCCGACACAGACGAGAGGACAGCCAUGUUACUGGGAGGCUGUUGACGCAUUUGACAGUGAGCUCCACAAAAUAUGUAUUCCUCGGCAAAUCAAACCCAAGGAGGACAGCUGUACAAGUUUCAGCAGUCUCCAGUGGGUGGUUCUACAUUUGGCUGCAAUGUUUGGAGACAACAAGGAUGAGGGCAGCAAACUCCCCAGCUGACAGUGACACAGCCCAUUACUCCUUAUUACUACUUCCACUGAUUAGUGGAAAUUUUUUCGCGUUUAUCGAUUGGACGAAUCGACCAGCCGGAUUCUGCUGCCUGCAACUAGGCCCCGGAGGAGGCGACCAGGUGUAUUCCGCUCCCCGCAGCUAGACUCCUGGGUCACAACCGCGGCUUGGCUGUCCGACGAACCCACUGCGUCCAGAAUCCAGGAUUUCUUCGGCCCGACUGCUGACGCCUAAAGGGGAAGUACCCACAUGUCUCCAUAAUAAGAACGCAUCACUGUGCGCAACAGAGUAGCAAGUCUGUUGAUUAUUGUCUCGCGCUCCCCGCAUCGCAAGAGGUGGGCUACGGCAGAACAGAGCGGUAUUAUACGGAACCGGCAGCGGCGACUAAUAGAGUUGGCAUACGCCAAAGGACCACUACGAGAGACACCCCCUGGUUUAUAAAGGACAGAAAGACACUACGUUUUUACUAUUGUACAUUUUAUCAGGUUGGAUUUAUUAAAGCCUAU